CAUGGUUCAAAAGUGAAAGACGGUCUUGCUGUCACUUAUAGAUGGAUCCGCGCUGCAUUAGCUAGUUGGUAAGGUAACGGCUUACCAAGGCAACGAUGCAUAGCCGACCUGAGAGGGUGAUCGGCCACACUGGAACUGAGACACGGUCCAGACUCCUACGGGAGGCAGCAGUAGGGAAUCUUCCGCAAUGGGCGAAAGCCUGACGGAGCAACGCCGCGUGAGUGAUGAAGGUCUUCGGAUCGUAAAACUCUGUUAUUAGGGAAGAACAUAUGUGUAAGUAACUGUGCACAUCUUGACGGUACCUAAUCAGAAAGCCACGGCUAACUACGUGCCAGCAGCCGCGGUAAUACGUAGGUGGCAAGCGUUAUCCGGAAUUAUUGGGCGUAAAGCGCGCGUAGGCGGUUUUUUAAGUCUGAUGUGAAAGCCCACGGCUCAACCGUGGAGGGUCAUUGGAAACUGGAAAACUUGAGUGCAGAAGAGGAAAGUGGAAUUCCAUGUGUAGCGGUGAAAUGCGCAGAGAUAUGGAGGAACACCAGUGGCGAAGGCGACUUUCUGGUCUGUAACUGACGCUGAUGUGCGAAAGCGUGGGGAUCAAACAGGAUUAGAUACCCUGGUAGUCCACGCCGUAAACGAUGAGUGCUAAGUGUUAGGGGGUUUCCGCCCCUUAGUGCUGCAGCUAACGCAUUAAGCACUCCGCCUGGGGAGUACGACCGCAAGGUUGAAACUCAAAGGAAUUGACGGGGACCCGCACAAGCGGUGGAGCAUGUGGUUUAAUUCGAAGCAACGCGAAGAACCUUACCAAAUCUUGACAUCCUUUGACAACUCUAGAGAUAGAGCCUUCCCCUUCGGGGGACAAAGUGACAGGUGGUGCAUGGUUGUCGUCAGCUCGUGUCGUGAGAUGUUGGGUUAAGUCCCGCAACGAGCGCAACCCUUAAGCUUAGUUGCCAUCAUUAAGUUGGGCACUCUAAGUUGACUGCCGGUGACAAACCGGAGGAAGGUGGGGAUGACGUCAAAUCAUCAUGCCCCUUAUGAUUUGGGCUACACACGUGCUACAAUGGACAAUACAAAGGGCAGCGAAACCGCGAGGUCAAGCAAAUCCCAUAAAGUUGUUCUCAGUUCGGAUUGUAGUCUGCAACUCGACUACAUGAAGCUGGAAUCGCUAGUAAUCGUAGAUCAGCAUGCUACGGUGAAUACGUUCCCGGGUCUUGUACACACCGCCCGUCACACCACGAGAGUUUGUAACACCCGAAGCCGGUGGAGUAACCUUUUAGGAGCUAGCCGUCGAAGGUGGGACAAAUGAUUGGGGUGAAGUCGUAACAAGGUAGCCGUAUCGGAAGGUGCGGCUGGGUCACCU
Molecule: ribosomal RNA, 1354 nt
Filed under: Staphylococcus aureus
Lineage: Bacteria; Bacillati; Bacillota; Bacilli; Caryophanales; Staphylococcaceae
Description: bacterial SSU rRNA
Rfam family: Bacterial small subunit ribosomal RNA
Source: RNAcentral